CGCGUAGGCGGCCAGAUAAGUCCGGUGUGAAAGUCACAGGCUCAACCUGUGAAUGCCGCUGGAAACUGUCUGGCUAGAGUCCGGAAGGGGCGAGUGGAAUUCCUGGUGUAGCGGUGAAAUGCGCAGAUAUCAGGAGGAACACCAAUGGCGAAGGCAGCUCGCUGGGACGGUACUGACGCUGAGGCGCGAAAGCGUGGGGAGCAAACA
This 207-nucleotide ribosomal RNA is filed under the name uncultured bacterium. RNAcentral describes it as "partial 16S ribosomal RNA". It matches the Rfam family "Bacterial small subunit ribosomal RNA", at positions 568 to 774 of the family's 1533-position model. The record is from RNAcentral.